UAUAUAUGUUUAUGUAUGUAUAAAUGUGUACACACAUAUUUCUCUCUCUCUUUACAUAUAUAUGUAGUAUAACAUAUAUACAUAUGCGUGUGUGUAUA
Molecule: microRNA precursor, 98 nt
Filed under: Notamacropus eugenii (tammar wallaby)
Lineage: Eukaryota; Metazoa; Chordata; Mammalia; Diprotodontia; Macropodidae
Description: miRNA (ENSMEUG00000016954.1)
Source: RNAcentral